AGUGAACGCUGGCGGUAGGCCUAACACAUGCAAGUCGAACGGCAGCACAGUAAGAGCUUGCUCUUACGGGUGGCGAGUGGCGGACGGGUGAGGAAUACAUCGGAAUCUACUUUUUCGUGGGGGUUACCUUAGGGAAACUUACGUUAUUCCCGCAUCCGCCUUACGGUUAAAACAAGGGGACCUUCGAACUUUCCCCGAUUGAUUGAGCCGAUGUCGGAUUAGCUAGUUGGCGGGGUAAAGGCCCCCAAGGCGACGAUCCGUAGCUGGUCUGAGAGGAUGAUCAGCCACACUGGAACUGAGACACGGUCCAGACUCCUACGGGAGGCAGCAGUGGGGAAUAUUGGACAAUGGGCGCAAGCCUGAUCCAGCCAUACCGCGUGGGUGAAGAAGGCCUUCGGGUUGUAAAGCCCUUUUGUUGGGAAAGAAAAGCAGCAGGUUAAUACCCCGCUGUUCUGACGGUACCCAAAGAAUAAGCACCGGCUAACUUCGUG
RNAcentral lists this ribosomal RNA (491 nucleotides) under uncultured bacterium. RNAcentral describes it as "partial 16S ribosomal RNA". It matches the Rfam family "Bacterial small subunit ribosomal RNA", at positions 29 to 507 of the family's 1533-position model. The record is from RNAcentral.